UUUACGCUGGGCGCUGGGCACCAUCUUAAAUUAUUUGAUUUCAAACUAUUUCCGUUGAGCGGUGUUGUAGUUUGGUAUUUGAUCUGAUGGUAUGAAAUGUUUUUUAGAAAUAAAAAAUACAAAAGCAGGCGAUUUGGUUUUGUAAACGUGAAACUGUCUCGAUCUAUUCGCGCUGCUAAAUAUGAAAGUCGGCGUAAAACUGGAAAAACCAAAACUUACAAUGAAAACAGAAAUAUAUCAAACUGUUAAAUUAAUGCAACACUGGAAGAAACAACACCUCCAGCAAUUGAAAAUCGUUUGCAAGACUAACAAAAUGGAAAGUAGAACGUGAUAGAAAGAAAAAAUUGGAAAAUGUUAAAAAGAAAUGUCCUUUCGUAGUUAGGAUGGUAUUUCAUAAAAUAUAUUCUUCAAUUACAACGGAUGAACGUCUUGUUUCAACCACUAUCAGCAAAAAAGUAUGUAAAUCAAAUAUACCAAUGAUACCUUUGGUUCAAAAGAAGAAAAUUACAAGAGCCACAGAAAAGAGAUUAAUGUAUAAAGCACAGUCAAACAAAAUGAUCAAAGAUUCAAUAAAAAUUGAUCAGUCUAUGAAAAAUAAGCAUCCUAAGAUUCCAAAGGAACAGGGAGCAAUUCUUUGCUUCUGUAAAUUAUAAAUAUAAGCCACCAGAAGGGCCAUGUAAAAUGUCUUUGUUUGGUUGGGUUACAAAUAGUACAAAUGGCGUAUUGAAUGAAUCUUUAUUGUUCUUUUCAAAAGAGAUUCUAAGACCAGUAAAAAAAAUGGCAAUACAAACUUUUCUGUAGAACCAAUAAGUAUCACAACAUUAAAUAUAUCUUAUAUUAUUGAGGAAAAGCAAGAAGAUACCAUAGAUGAAGUUUCUAGUGAAUCAUUUAUAUUAAAAUUAUCUUCUGAUAAUGACGAAGUGUUUAAUUUAGUUAAUAGACACAAUACUAGAAGUAAAAAGAAUAGUGAUAAUAGCAACAAUGUUACCAAGAAAGUUAAAGAAACUAAUAAAAAAUUGAUUGAUUUUAAGAAAAAUUGGAACAACUGAACAUUUUGAUAAUAUAAGAGUGUUAAGAAAUAGAAGUAUUAUUUCAGAAAAUACAUCAACACAGAAAAAAAGGUACUCUAGAAAACUAUCUGUAAAUAUGCACGAAUCAGAAAACAAAGAAAAUAAAACUUCUAAGUAGUGGAGAUAAUACGCUUAUUAAUUCAGAAAUAGAUUUAUAUGAUGCUAUUCGUGGUAUGAGCUUAGAUGAAAAAAGUGGAAGAUGAAAAUCUAACUGAAGAAGCAUUAAAUUAAAACAACACGCUUUUGGUAAGUUCGAAUUAUUUAAACAAGUGGAUUUUAUUACAGUAAAAGACUACUCUGGUUGUGUAGAGAGACCAACACUUCCUAUGUCCCUUCAUGUGAGAUGGAGUAGAAUGCGAUCUACUGGGAAGAAGAAAAAAGUUCCUGAACAGAUACAUCGAUUAAAGAGCAAAAAAGCAUAAUUACUGAUCAAACUGUGAGUUCUAAUCUCCUUAUAUCAUAGAAGCAAUGUUAUGCACAGAUAUUGAAAGUUGUAAUGAGCGAUAUGUAUUAAGAGUAUGAAAAGAUGAGAAUAAAGUAUAGAACAGUAUGAUAAAUAAAGGAGAAAUACAGAAAAA
Long non-coding RNA from Megalopta genalis, 1648 nucleotides. RefSeq lists it as uncharacterized. The record is from RefSeq and is a predicted model, not a curated record. NCBI's taxonomy places the organism in Eukaryota, Metazoa, Arthropoda, Insecta, Hymenoptera, Halictidae.